RNAcentral lists this ribosomal RNA (366 nucleotides) under uncultured Deinococcota bacterium. RNAcentral's name for it is "bacterial SSU rRNA". It matches the Rfam family "Bacterial small subunit ribosomal RNA", at positions 1019 to 1382 of the family's 1533-position model. The record is from RNAcentral. Lineage: Bacteria; Thermotogati; Deinococcota.
GCAAGGGAGCCCGGAGACAGGUGGUGCAUGGCUGUCGUCAGCUCGUGUCGUGAGGAUGUUGGAUUAAGUUCCGCAACGAGCGCAACCCUCGUCGCGUGUUGCCAGCGGGUCAUGCCGGGCACUCACGCGAGGACUGCCGCAGCAAUGUGGAGGAAGGUGGGAUGACGUCAAGUCAGCAUGCCCCGUACGCCCUGGGCUACACACAUACUACAAUGCGAGGGGCAAACAGUUGCCAACCCGUGAGGGGGAGCCAAUCUGAGAAGCCCUCGCUCAGUGCAGAUCGCAGGCUGCAACUCGCCUGCGUGAAGGCGGAAUCGCUAGUAACCGUCGGUCAGCAUUACGACGGUGAAUACGUUCCCGGGCCUU